GUGACGCAAAUUCUUUGGGGUUUUGAUUCGGCUUUAAGGGAUUGCUUUGCUUCUGCUACUGUGUCUUUGUCUGUGAGAGAAAAAGUUUGUUCAGCCUCAGACCAAUUUCUUCACAAUCCCAAAAAUACCUUCUCGUCUUCUUCAGCUUGAGAAUGGAGUGAAACUAGGUUCCAUUGACCAGAGACUAUAGCCAUUGAAGAUGCUGUCAGAGUUCUAUUGCAUGGUUUAGGGGAGGAUAUUAAUAGAGAGGGUCUCAAGAAGACCCCUUUUCGUGUUGCCAAGUCACUUCGUGAAGGAACCAAAGGGAAAACAUUCAAAUUUCUGUAAUUGGAGAUUCCUCUA
This is a long non-coding RNA of Quercus lobata, 342 nucleotides long. RefSeq lists it as uncharacterized. The record is from RefSeq and is a predicted model, not a curated record. The transcript is spliced from 3 exons. NCBI's taxonomy places the organism in Eukaryota, Viridiplantae, Streptophyta, Magnoliopsida, Fagales, Fagaceae.